CUCUCUCGCUUCAGCCUGCUGCCCCGUGAGAGUCUGACACUUCAGCCUGACUCUGUCAUUUUCACAGUAACACAUCCCACAGCCUCCAUUCUUCCACAAAGAGAUCAUAUCUCUGCUCCUCUUUAUGCCUCUCAACAUAAAGCCCUCCUCAUAACACAGUGGGAAAAAAGGAACAACAAAUAGGAAACCAUGCCAGUCUUCAGUGAAUGCAUGUGUGUUUGGAGCCACAGUUUUCAGACAAGACAAGAGUCCUCCCAGUUUUAUGUGUCAAUCAUUUGAUGUUCCCAGAAUAACGGGGGCUGGCACAAAGAGAGGGUGCUGGGAAGCAUUAGGCUGACAGAGUGGAAGUAGGGCAGGGACAGGGGGUGACGAGCAGGUCUGAACAGUUAUGCUAAUAGCUCAUGUUCUCCUGGUUGUUGUGAACAAAGUGAAAAGAGGACGAUUAGCACCAAGAAAUGAGCCAUCAGCCACCAGCCGUGAACUUCCUGUUUUGGUUGGAUCUGCAGAGUGGUGCAGCUGAAAUUCCCUUGUCCGCGCUGAAGCGUGUUUAUUUAGCCAAGAAAUUUAGAGUAAACUCAACUGCUGCUGAUACAUCCUCCAAACAACCAAACAAAGUUUAUAUAUUCUGAUAUGGUUAUUCUGCAUUGACAACAACAUCUUUUCAUAUAUUGUCCUGUGAUUAGUCAGAAAAACAAACCAGUUUAUGCAAAACACCCCCAGACUGAGAGACGGCCCAAUGAGACAACACAACAAACUAUCACAACACCAGGAUUUUGUCUUUGUCUGCUGGACCUCCCAUUGCAUGUCCCAGUAAGGUAACAGGCACACAACAAAAGACGCCAUAAUGGUUAAGAAAAGGGUCAUUUCACCCAACAUAAGGGGCCUUUUUGCAGGCUUUUCCCCUCCUUCCUAGCUCUUCAAUUUGUACAUUUUGAUGUGGAAAUAACUCAAACUUGUCAACAGCCGUCAGAGGUCCCCUGAGUUUACUGAGUUCUUAGUGGAAAUAUAAACCUGCAGGGUCUCUAGUGAAUAUCUUGUUUCAUGUAACGCUGUGUUUUCUUGAGCGCAGAAAGGUUCAAACUGCUCUCAGUUAUCACAGCUCUCAGUCUGUGAAGAAAAAAUCUGGCAUAUUUCUCUUAGUUUCUUGUGUAUGGUGUGAAAGCGAAUACAUUUCUAGUCUAACAAUAGGAUAAAAGACAUGAUGCUCAACAUGUCCAGGCAUGCCAGCGUGUAACCCAGCGACCUUUGGAUCACAGAUGGUCAUUUAACGGUCAUCACAAUCCUGUGAAUAAACACAUUUUAGUGUUGUAAGUUUGUAUUUUGUGCUGUUUUAAUGUUAAGGCUUGUUCUGCUCAUUUAUAAAGGGGCAACAUUUUAAUUUUUCUGAAAAAAAUGUGUUAAAAUAUUUAUUGUAAUACUACCAGUGAUUGGAGUUAAGAAAGUGGGCCACAUAUACAUGCUAUUUUAUGUUUGACUUUUGUUUAAACGGAACAUCCUAAUUUAUGCUAUUAAAUCAAUUUAGUAGCCCCCCCCCCCCCAUCUCCCUCUCUCCCCUCUUUAAACCCAGCUCAAUCUCAGCAGAUGACUUCUGCCCUGUUAAAAGAAGUUCUUCCUCUUCACUGUAACUUGAUAAAUGCUGCAAAGUGCUAACUACACUCGUGUGGUUGAAGAUGGGAUGAGAGUGGGUCUGAUCUUAAAAGACGGGGCUCAAACUUAUCCCACCUUUACACCUUUGGGUCUUUGUAAACAGAUUUUGGUGUGGACUGGUUGUGAAUUGCCACUUCAUAAAUAAAGAUUGACUGGUUGAUGGUACAGAAUCUGAAUACUCCCUUCCCCGUCAACUACAACUAUCAGCAUAUUUUAAUCCAAACUCAGAGAAAGUGUAAAAUUUUCUACUUUUACAGUGACUGUCUGUGUGACAGUGGGAUUGCCUCCUUGUUUUAACCACAGAGACAAGCAGAGAUUUUUGUACCUUUGCACAAAACACGAACUGUAAAUUAAUAAAGUAUUAAAUCUGAAAGAACAUUUUUUUUAAACAUUUUUUUGGGUUUAUUUUUCCAUUAUUGAUGGAAAAGGGUAAAAUGUGGGGAGAUAGAGGACAUGAAGCACAUGGUCAGACCUAGACUCAAACCCACAACCACUGCAGGGACCAUGGUCCCCAUACAUAGGGCACACUAACCCACUUGGCUAUCUGCACACCUCUGUGAACAGACGUUUUACCCACUGAGUGCGCAGAGGAUUGUAAUAAUGUAUUUUUUAUUGAUAAUAAAUUUUCUCAGUUUUUCAUUGUGAAAUGUGAUCACUCUGUUGUUGUAACCAAUGCUCGAUAUGUAAAUUGUAAAUAAUGUUAACGAAGCCUGAUCAAGGUACCUCCAUCAAUGGCUGCCUAACAUCUUAAAUCCAAUUUUAUAUGCUGCUAUCACAGUCAACAUCAAUUUGAGGUCUAUUCAGACUGAUGGGAACUCUUUGUGUGGAUCAAUAAAAAACAGCUUGUAUUUAUUUGUUUCUCCAGCAGCUGAAGACCCCUCAGCCGUGGCCCUUGGAGAAUUUCCUGUAUGUUGCACAGGGAGGGAAAUUUAAACUGGGUUCUGAGGAGAGGACGCCUGCUCCCCUGGCUCUCACUCGGGGUGUGACCUAUAAUCCCAUCAGAGCUAGUGUGUCCAUACUGGGAAAAUAAACCCAGACAGAGACUGAUCCUGCCGCCCAGCUCUCAUCGACCCAUCAAACUUUUUUCUUUACAGCUCUUGUUCACAAUCUGUCAGAAGCGUUCAAUACUAAUGUUCAUGGCUGGAGAUCUAAGACUCAGCCAGUGUUUUAGGUUAUAAUGUGAAAGACUGGAACUUAUUUGAAUCAGUAAGUCAUAAACAAAAGCUUCUAAAAGCAGAAUCUUUAAACAGACUGGAAUGUUAAACAGACUGGAAAUCAAAUAAAUGGUCACAUCAAGAAAGUUGCGGCUUCGAGUUAAUGUCUUCCAUGUUUUCAAUAAGUGAGAUCUGUGUGUAUGUAGACUAUUGAGUUAUAGAUGAGAGAGCACAAAGCUGAAUCUGCUCAUGUGUUUACAGUUUUUGUGUGGUAGAUAUCAGCGAAUAGUGAGACACCUAGACAAGCUUUUGAUAUGUGUAGUGAUUUUUUUUUAAAUAUGAAAGCAUCUCUUAACAGAUGGAGCUAUAAAUACCCUUCCCCACUGUAACUUUCAGACCCCUGACAUGCCGCUACGAUCAAGAGGAAAAUCAUGCUCAUGGUGAGACUGAUUUGUGGGUUUGUGGGUGCUGUGGUGAGGAAGUGGGCCUGUCUGAAGAAAAACUGGAUUUAAUCUCUCUGGUAUUCAGUGGUUUCAUCAUAGUUUGGGGGGUCCAAGAGGAGUUUAGGUUCUGGGGUAUGUUUCAAAAAGGAGAAAAAGAAGUUUUCUUCCAGAGGAUGAAACAGAAGACAGAGUUUAGAAAUGAUCUUUUUCACUCUUUGUCGUAAAGACGGACAGUUUUUGAUCCAAAGUUAAGAGAGGGGGAAGUAACAUGCAUGACCUGCAGAGCUGCACUUGAUUUAAAAAGAGUUGAGGCCAUCUUACUGUGUUUACUAAAAAGAUCAGAAAAACCUACAGUGGACGUGAAGUUUUCUCUCCUCUGAUCACAGGAACAGAAGAAUAAAAACUAGCAGCAGGAAAAAGAACAAAACAGAUUUUCUGUAAACACAAAGUGAUUUUGUCCAGAUAUCUGGAUUGAAUCCAAAAGGGAAAGGAAAGGAGGAUGCUUUCAGCUGCUUUAAUGUUUUAUACUUACACUUUAAAAGUGAUUGGUAUCUCAGAACAAGAGGACUUCCUGCUGUAGAUAAUGGCAACUAGGAUUUCUUCAAAAAAGGCCCUUUCAGAUCAGUGUGAUACUGAAUUGUCUCAAUCUGGUUGCUGGGAGCUCUAACAGGGGUUAUUGAGGCUCCACCAGCUGCCUGUUGGACUCAAAUGGAACUUUUGGUAAGCGUUCUGGCACCAGACGGCACUCGGUUAAGAGAGCCAAAAAUUUGAAUAACAAGUGUUCGGGAAAGGCCAACUGUUUAGAGUCCUCACAAGGUCAGAGAGGAACAAUGGAGGCUGUUUCCUAGUGAACACCAGACUCACACUCUGCUGAGUUUAGAUAGUCUGAAGUCUGAUUCCAAAUGUUCAACUCCAUGGAUUGAACUGUGAGGGGACUGCUGAUAAAAUGACACACCUUUUCACAUGUAGUCUUGUUUUUUUCUGGGUCAAUCUUUUACCUUUCUAUCAGUAGGAGCCAAAUUGUCUUCAGCACAUACAUACAAAACACACUCACCAAGCUGAAGCCACGCCCCUUAUCGCGACAAAGACCUCCUAUGGGGCGUGACAAGAAUGGAAGCUUAUAUAUCCCCCUCAGUGCUGA
Non-coding RNA from Xyrichtys novacula (pearly razorfish), 4385 nucleotides. The record is from the annotation of a GenBank genome assembly. NCBI's taxonomy places the organism in Eukaryota, Metazoa, Chordata, Actinopteri, Labriformes, Labridae.